Long non-coding RNA from Daphnia magna, 515 nucleotides. RefSeq lists it as uncharacterized. The transcript has 2 exons. The record is from RefSeq and is a predicted model, not a curated record. Lineage: Eukaryota; Metazoa; Arthropoda; Branchiopoda; Diplostraca; Daphniidae.
UUUUUGCUGAUUAUAAACACCAUUUAAUACAUAUUGCCAUUUGAAGACGGCAACAUUGCCUUACUAUGUUUCGCAACAUUGUUAUUCUGUCAACCAGUAGAUGCAGAUGAACCGUUCUAUUUAUAUUACCGUUCUAUUUGUAUUUGUGUCUCUGAAUUCAGUACAAGUAAAGUAAAAAUAAAGUAACUUUGGUCGGAACUGCCGUUCCAUCACGAAAUUGCGAUCGAUGAUCUCGAUCUCGAUCCUACCCCAAUUUGGGAUCGAAGAAUCCAAAUCGAUCGGUUUUUUUAAUUUGAUCAAUCGAUCGGGGAAAUCGAUCUUCUCGAUUAUUUUUUAAAAAAUGUAUUUCCUUUGUGCUGCAUCACACAGACGAUAGUGAGCGGCAAAUUUGACCUCACUUUUUGUACUACUCCUUUGAGUAAGCUGAUGCCAAGUUAGCAUUGAAACAGUCAAAAAUUUUUUGUUUUAACUCCAAUUUCUUAUUUUGUUGCAUUAAUACAUUGUAUUUGAAGUGG